GACGAACGCUGGCGGCGUGCUUAACACAUGCAAGUCGAACGGAAAGGCCCUGCUUUUGUGGGGUGCUCGAGUGGCGAACGGGUGAGUAACACGUGAGUAACCUGCCCUUGACUUUGGGAUAACUUCAGGAAACUGGGGCUAAUACCGGAUAGGAGCUCCUGCUGCAUGGUGGGGGUUGGAAAGUUUCGGCGGUUGGGGAUGGACUCGCGGCUUAUCAGCUUGUUGGUGGGGUAGUGGCUUACCAAGGCUUUGACGGGUAGCCGGCCUAAGAGGGUGACCGGCCACAUUGGGACUGAGAUACGGCCCAGACUGCUACGGGAGGCAGCAGUGGGGAAUAUAGCACAAUGGGCGGAAGCCUGAUGCAGGAACGCCGCGUGCGGGAUGACGGCCUUCGGGUUGUAAACCGCUUUCGCCUGUGACGAAGCGUGAGUGACGGUAAUGGGUAAAGAAGCACCGGCUAACUACGUG
Molecule: ribosomal RNA, 468 nt
Filed under: uncultured bacterium
Lineage: Bacteria
Description: partial 16S ribosomal RNA
Rfam family: Bacterial small subunit ribosomal RNA
Source: RNAcentral